Long non-coding RNA from Brassica napus (rape), 6111 nucleotides. RefSeq lists it as uncharacterized. NCBI's taxonomy places the organism in Eukaryota, Viridiplantae, Streptophyta, Magnoliopsida, Brassicales, Brassicaceae. The transcript is spliced from 4 exons. The record is from RefSeq and is a predicted model, not a curated record.
ACAACUACCAGAGGAUAUCAGAGUUGCUGAGAUGAGUAUGAAUGAUUCUUGGUUCUUCGAAUCUGGACCAACUGUAAGUUCUUUAUCUUCCACAUAGCAUCUUACUACCAUCUGUUCUGAACAGUGGUUGCUUCUUUGUCUUUAUUUUACAGUUUUUUAGUGGAAAUGACAAUUUUACUACUCUGAGCAUUUCUUACAUCAAAAACGCUAACCAAUAGAAAACGAAAAAGAGAUGACUGAGUUACAUUGUUAUGGCGCCACAUCUAUGAGCUUCUACCAACUCAUCUAGAGCAGACACCUUUAGCGUCAGAAUUUCAUCUACGACUGAGUCCAAUCUCAAUCUCAAGUUGCAUUGUUGCGGCGCCACACCAUUGAAAUGGGACUCCUUUUCUGCUUGGAAUGAAGAAUUACAGAAUUUUCUGGUGUUAACUUUGACAAAAAGGUACUCAACAAUGAUUUAUUAUUAUUAUAUUUUGGCCAGUAACACAACCAGACACCAAUACACUAACAAAGUUGGUUCUGUUGUUAUAAACAAUAAUAGGUUCAUAGUGUGUAUUGGUGAGAAGGACAUGAUGAUUCUGAGCUUGUCACGAAAUCUCAUCAUCAGAUAUUGUGGUCACUUCUUGGAAGGUAUAUAACAUCAGUUUCUCUUUCCAAGUUUAUAUUAAUGUCUCAACUGUUACUCAGAUUCAUGUGUUUUUUUGUUCCCAUGAUUAUAGUACUCAGGUUUUGCAGCGAAGCUUACCAAGUCCCAAGCCAAGCAAAUCGCAGGUACUUUGUCUCAUGUCUCAUAUAUUCUUGGCUUUCUUGGAAACAAACACCUAAGUCAUGCAUUUACACAACAUCUUCAUUUGUCUCAAACACAUCUGAUGUGUUUCUCAUUGCUAAUGCUUUGUGCCAACAGAUUUACCUGAUGUGUUGUUCUUAGCUUUUUUUGCAGCCAGUCUGAAUAUGGUAAAGAAGUUAUCAUUGGCAUUGUCGACACAGGUACGUCUGUGUAUUUGUACAUACAUGUCAUGUUGCUUCUGGUUCCUCUAUCUUAGGUCUCAGUCAAUUAAAAAAUAUUUUGAUAUUCCAGGAGUGUGGCAAGACAUUGGGAUCGGACCAGCGCCAAUACGCUGGGAAGAAGGUUGUGAAUUUGGAGAGGAUUUCAACUACUGACACUGCAACAAAAAGCUCAUAAGAGUCAAAUAUGGGGUUUCUUGCGGAGAACGAAAGCUUCAACAAGUCUUGAAGUAAAAAAAUACAUACACAAGGGAUGUUUGUAACAAAGUAAUAACUUCCAAAAUUAUUUAUAUAUAAAAAUCAUAUUAAUCAACUUCAGCUUUGUUGAAUAAAUCUCCAUCACAUCUUGUGAAUUAAUACAUCAAAAGGUAAUAUUUAAACCCAAAAAACGAACACUGAUCACGAAAAUCCAUUAACAAACUGCUGAGAAAACAUGAUAUUAGAAAAAGUAUUCAGGCUUCCACACUACUACAUACUUCAGCUCCAAAUAAAGAUUUGCGUAACUACACCAUUCAUAAUAUAAAACAACCUAAUUAGACAAACAAGUGUUACAAAACUGUGUUGUGUUCAAGUUAAAUACAAUUCUCCACACCGAAUACAACACAAUAGUUUUACUUAAAAACAAAUACUGUACUACAUAUAAAAUUAACCAUCCAGUAACAAUCCACAUAGAUUAUGGACAGCCAAAUAAACCAAUACAACACCAACCCUCAUCGAGCUGUAUCUCAAAUGAUAAUAUAUAAAAGCUACUUAAAAACACUAUUAAUAAAAAGAACAGUCAAUUCAACAAAAAAACAUUUACUCGACGUGAGUAGUCCUUAAAACAAACUGAUAGAACAAGAAACCCCCACCCUCCAACAUAUAUAUGACAUAGCUACGACCCGUAACCCUCAUAUUUUACUAGAUAUCAAACUUAUCUUCACCGAUCUUGAAGGAACUAAUAGACCUCCAAUCCAACUGUGGAAGAAGAAAGUGAUACGUGCACUGAAUGCUUCGAGAAUUACAAUUAUGGAAUUUGCUAAUAAUUUUGACAUUUGCUAAUAAUUUUGGAAAAUAAUUGUUUUCCAUAGCUCGAAAAUAUAUUCUUUCUCACAACGUCAUACACACAUAUUAAAAUAGAUCAAAUGCAUCAUUUCUAUACUACUACCACUAACCUCUAUCAAAUGGAUCAAACAAACCCUCUUUAACUUAUUAGAUACCAAAAUAUACGAACCCGGCGCGUAGCGCUGGAAUGCCCCUAGUAGUUAUGUAAAAUCUCUAAUUCAAUACAAUUAUCGAAAUUCUUAAUAAUAAUUUUUUUAAAAAAAAUAUUUCACACAAAUAUGAGUACAAAGAAAAACAAAAAUAUGCUUACAAAAAAAACACAAAUAUGGUUACAAAAAAAACACAAAUAUAAAAAUUAAAUUUCUACAAAAAUAUGUAAACAAAAAAUAUACAUACGAAACUAGUCUCUAUUAUAUUAGUCCCACGCUUUUUACAUGUCACAUGAUAGUACAUACGAAACUCUACUCAAAUCCUUAGUUUUGUCAAGACGACUCUCAUUUGGUAGUUUGUUUGUCAUUUAGGAGAAAACAUUUGGAAAUGGGCGUAAAGCAAAUGAAGAUGAUGGUAACGGUGUAAUAUGAGUUGUUUUUAUAACUCCCCCUUCUAUCAAAUAUUACAAAAGCUUCUAACAAAAUAACAAACUAGAAUCAAAUAACGCCAUGCUUUAUGAUCCUCUCAUUUUAUUAUAUGUAUAUAGAAGGUUGAAACGCUUGCUUCAAAACUAGUUCUUUAUUUUUCUUGCAGCUGUCUUUCAUCCAUAAUUCCAUCUAAUAUUAUAUUUAAAUAAGAAAGGUGAGCAACUUAAAAUUCUAUCACAACUUUUAAUAGUUUUUUCCUUUAUUAAAAGUAAAUACAGUGAUAAUAUUAAAUAAUUUUAAAUUUUUCAAAAAGUGUUUAAAGAAUUACAAUUUAUUUCUAAAUUAUAAACAAAAUAAAAAUGAAAGAAAAAUACUAGCUUUCAUUAUUUUAAAAUACUAAGCCUAAUUAUAUUUAUGAAUAUGUGUUUAGGUGAAGUUUCUGUUGCAAUUGACUCUCCAAAAAACACUUUCCUUCCCGUUUGAUUCUUUCUCUUUGCACAUUAUACAUUAGCAGUAUUCAACUAUCACAACAUUAUUCUGAUUUAGCUUAGGCCUUUCAAUGGAAACCGUUUUAAAAAAGAUCUCACACACAACCGAUCAUUCACAACAUAUUUCUUCUUUAAACAUAAUUAAUAUUCAUUAACUUUUCAGUAAAUUAAAAUAAUAAAAAGUGUAACAAAAUGUUUGGUUUUCUUCUUUUAAUAUAAAAUUAAGAACUGUCAAUAGAGCAAUAUACAUGCUUCAUCUUUAAAGUAUUUUUUAAAAAUAUUUACUUUUACACUUUUUAAUAUAAUUAUUUUAUUCUUAAAACGAGAUAUAUUAAUUAAUCUACUAAUAGUGUACUCUCUACUAAUAUUUUAGAAACACUAUUUUAGAUUAUGUUAUUUAUACUAUUAUUUGAGAAGUGAUUUUGCUUAUUUGUUAUGUUUUAUAUGAUUUUUGGUAAUUUUAUUUGUCAUGUUCUUAUGAUUUUGACUGAGGAAUCGAUCAAUUUAAAUUUAUAGAUAUAAAAAUUAUGAUAGAAAUCUAAAUAUUUUGCUCGACCCAAAUUUUAAAUCAUAUUUGUUAGAGAAUAUAUAGCGUAAUAUAUAUCAGUCAAUUUUUAUGAGGUUUUAGUUAAUGAAAUAUAUAUCGUAUGUAAAUCUUUAUAAAUAAAGUUGACAUAUCUGUCUUCUCAGGCGUCCACGUCGCUUUGGAGAGAUGGGAAAAGAUGACACGUGUCAUCCUCUCUUUCAAAGAUAAUUUUUUUUCGGUUUGCCCAAAUCUUAAUCCUUCAUUUCGUCUAGAUUUUUCUCGCCUACUGCGAAACUUGAUAGUCACCGGUUACAAAUCAAAGGUUCACCCACAUCAUCCACUAAUUAAUCAUUUACUCUCCCCCUUUAGUUUAGUAAUCGAUUCAGUUUUUGAGAUCCCGAAUAAUCUGAGAGGAUUUUUAAUUACGAUGGCGACUAAUCUGAGGUGGAGGAUUAACCAGAGAUGGAAGGAAAGUGGGUAGGGAGGACGCCGGAGGGAGUGGGACUGGUGGUGAAGCUAGCUGGCGGCGAUUAAGUAGCAGACAUGGAUGAUUGCAAAGUAAACUGUCAAAGAAUAAUACUGAACAGAAUUUGCAGUGUCGCCACCUGCUAAAAAGAUAUGUGGAACUUUAAGUCAAUGACAGAUGAUGAUCCAAUGAAGUUUGGGUUUGGCUCACCAGGAAUCAAAGAUAAGAAGAAGAAGAAGAAGAAGAAAAGAAGAAGAAGAAGAUGAUGAAGAAGAAGAAGGCCUUCAAGCUGUGAGUGUAAACAUACACCAUACGCUUCUUUGAUCAUGUAUACGCCUAAGCUAAUGUGGUUCAAUCGUGGAUUUUUUUUUCUCAUUUAUCAUUGAUUACUUUAACGCUGCUUGACAACAAGUCUUACUGUCUCAGAUAUAACAUUUGACGACCCAUCCCUAAUCAAUCAGGUUCCAUCUCUUUCUCUCCCUCUCUCUGUUAUCCAUCGUUCCUCACUAUUUCUAAUCAGUUUUUAUGAUGCCUUCGUUUGAGCUAAUUGUAUAUGUGUGGUUACGGAGUUGCCGGAACUGGGUAAAGAUUAUUCUGCUCAUAUGCUUAAUUAGUACACUCACGUGAGCUUCCCUUCCCUUUUUCACUAUCUUAUCUUGCUAUGAAAUUGAUAUGGUAAAAGCUUAAUAAUGUAUAGAAUGUGGUUACUAGCCUUUAAGUUGAAGGCAUGGUUUCUGUAUAAUGUGUAUGAAAUUCAUAUGUGUAACAGAGAUGAUGAGCUUUCUGGAUUGGAAGUGUGGGGGUCUUCUUUUGAGAUGCCAAAACUGGAUGUUUUAAAAUGUUUCUCUAAUUGAUUUGCCAUAAUUUGAGUUGUUAGAUGUGACCACGAGGAGGCAAAUUCAGUAGACAGAUCGUCAGAGGUAUCUUGAACCAAAAGUUACAAGCAUUUUUUCACAUAAUCAGGAUAGUGACUUGAAAAUGCUUCAGAAGAAAAACAGAAUUGGUCUUCUUCUGCUUGAAGUUAAAACGUAAGCCAAUCUGAAGAAAAGUACAAGAAGAGCAAGGGUUGGUGGUUGCAAUGUAAGUCAUUCUUUUACUUCUAUUAAGAGAAAGUAUGUCCUCUGAAAAUGAGAAAAACGUCUACCCACGCCUCUUCAGUUUGCUCCUACUCUCCAUAGACAAUAUAUGAGCUCAUGUUGUGUCUCAGUUCUGACUCAUGUCUAACUCCCCCACCACAAAUUCAUACACAACAAUAGACAAGAAAUAGCUCAAAUUUUAUCUGAUCACCGGCCAUACAGGUUCGAUUGAUGGACUAAGCCAUAUAUACUACAGCUUCACAUCACAAUGUUAAAACUUACCUACCAUUCUUCUCAUGAUUUACAAUAAUUCACCAUGAAAGAAUAUAUGAAAUUUAUGUUUUGGUCAAUAUUCCAGGCUCUGCAAUAGUUCCAAGUAUAUGAAGACAACUUCAAACUCUCCUAACAUAUCUCAAAAAAGCAAUCGUGCAUUCCGAACUGAGGUGUAGCACAUUAUUAUACGGUUAUGGACUCUUUUAUUUUGUGUUUACGGUCGUGUUUCAUUUUUUAUAUAUUUGGUUCCAAACUAUAGCCUGAGCAUCUUAGAGAGCAUGCCAAAGAAGAAACAAAUGCAAUUUCUUAUGAACCUGGUGUGGAGAAGACCCUAAGGAGAAACACUUCUUCGAACCCCUUUCGAUAUACCCGAAACCACACGGAAAUCACUCACUCACCCAUAUGCUUCAUGGUGAUUCUUGCAUAGAUGAGAAAUGAUUAGCACAAGACGUUUGUUGGUUGUUUAAUAUUCAUGCGGGAUAUUGUCUCCUUCUUCACUAUUUGGUAAAGCUAGAGGAAACUGUGCAACAAAUAUACUUUGGUUAAAUUAUAUAUAUGAUGGGGCUGAUUAUUUGAAUUGUUUGAGCAUGAGAUUUUUUCUUUGUCAACUAGCAGGAGAUUUACUUAUAUAAUUUGUACUGUGAUGCUUGAUUUA